UGGCCCCGGUUCUGUACAGUAUAUGUGUGACUGUACGAAAAUGAAAAUGGAAAAUAAAACUAUCUAGAUGACAAACAAAGAAUAAUUGAGCCCCUGAUAAUUUUGUAUUUUUCCACCAUUUCAGCUUUUAUGGUAGAAAAAAAAUUGCAGUCCCUAGAUAUGAAAAGAAAGAAUUGUCACUAAUCGUUCUCUGCAACUUAAAGAUCCAUCAGGGCAUGAACUCUGCUUAUCAAUCCUCCAAAUGUUUUACAAAACACUUUUUUAAAAAAGUAUAUAGAAAUUUGCUUGUGUUUCCAUUGAUUAAAGCUCCAUACAAAAAAUAACCAUUCACCUGUUCACACAACAAAGUUGUGUGUAGGGGAAAAAAAACUGCCACUUAUUUUCUAGUUAAAUAUUUUAUUUGUUAUACCCACACACAGUCCUGCAGUACAGAAAUCGGGAAUAAUACUUCUAUGACUAUGAAAAAUCGAUACCCCGCUAUUUCUUUUGCAGAUACAAGCAGCAAUCAUCCCAAACCCUUCCGACGCGUUAGACUUCAGCCUCCAACCUUAAGGGCUGGAGUCCGCGGUCGUCAGUUUAAUAGGCACAGAGGUAUAACUCAUGCAAUGGGUGGCAGAGGAGGCCUGAACCGGGGCAAUAUUAAUUAAACGCUGUACAGAUUUUGGAAAUGGUGUAUGCGGUUUAGUCUGCCUUUAUUCUGCAUUAGUAUAAUAGCUGCCAAGCUUAAAGCAGCCUUUUUUAAAUGUUAAAAAAGGAUUGUUGUAUGAACAUUUGAUUGUCUUUUAUUAAUAAAAGCUAGAGAAACUGUCA
Molecule: non-coding RNA, 810 nt
Organism: Thamnophis sirtalis
Lineage: Eukaryota; Metazoa; Chordata; Lepidosauria; Squamata; Natricidae
Source: RefSeq, a predicted model, not a curated record